This 253-nucleotide ribosomal RNA is filed under the name uncultured bacterium. RNAcentral's name for it is "partial 16S ribosomal RNA". It matches the Rfam family "Bacterial small subunit ribosomal RNA", at positions 524 to 776 of the family's 1533-position model. The record is from RNAcentral.
UACAGAGGGUGCAAGCGUUACUCGGAAUUACUGGGCGUAAAGCGUGCGUAGACGGUUGCGUAAGUCAGAUGUGAAAGCCCCGGGCUCAACCUGGGAAUUGCAUUUGAGACUGCGUAGCUAGGGUGCGGAAGAGGGAAGCGGAAUUUCCGGUGUAGCGGUGAAAUGCGUAGAUAUCGGAAGGGACACCAGUGGCGAAAGCGGCUUCCUGGUCCAGCACCGACGUUCAGGCACGAAAGCGUGGGGAGCAAACAGG